UGUCUGGCUUGAAGAAUGGCUUCAAGAACUCCGACCGCAACCAAGGCGCUUUGAUCGACG
This 60-nucleotide transfer RNA is filed under the name Ostreococcus mediterraneus. Lineage: Eukaryota; Viridiplantae; Chlorophyta; Mamiellophyceae; Mamiellales; Bathycoccaceae. The record is from RNAcentral.